Molecule: ribosomal RNA, 2753 nt
Filed under: Mucisphaera calidilacus
Lineage: Bacteria; Pseudomonadati; Planctomycetota; Phycisphaerae; Phycisphaerales; Phycisphaeraceae
Description: Planctomycetes bacterium Pan265 23S ribosomal RNA
Rfam family: Bacterial large subunit ribosomal RNA
Source: RNAcentral
UUAAGCUACUAAGAGCGUGUGGCGGAUGUCUUGGCGAUGAGAGGCGAUGAAAGACGUUGGAGCCUGCGAUAAGCCCAGGGAAGGUGGCAACCAACCUGUGAUCCUGGGAUUUCUGAAUGGGGAAACCCGGCCUUAUGGUCAUCCAUACCUGAAUGCAUAGGGUAUGGAAGCGAACCUGGUGAACUGAAACAUCUAAGUAACCAGAGGAAAAGAAAGAAACCUCGAUUCCGUAAGUAGCGGCGAGCGAAAGCGGAUUAACCCGUAGCGUUGUGAAGGGUCCGGAAUGGCCCACCACAGAAGGUGACAGUCCUGUAACAGCGUAGCGGGGUAGCCCUAGAGUAGCGUCGGGCUCGUGAAACCCGGCGUGAACACGGGGGGUCCACCCCCCAAGGCUAAAUACUACUCAUCGACCGAUAGUGAACCAGUAGGGUGAUUGAAUGAUGAAAAGUUCCCCGUAAGGGAAGUGAAAAGUACCUGAAACCACACGCUUACAAGCGGUCGGAGCCCUUCGGGGUGACGGCGUGCCUUUUGCAUAAUGAGCCCACGAGUUGGCCUCUGUGGCAAGGUUAAGGUGUACACCACCGGAGCCGAAGCGAAAGCGAGUCUUAACCGGCGUACAGUCGCAGGGGCCAGACGCGAAACCUUGUGAUCUACCCAUGGCCAGGUUGAAGGGAAGGUAACACUUCCUGGAGGACCGAACCCGUUAACGUUGAAAAGUUAUGGGAUGAGCUGUGGGGAGGAGUCAAAGUCUAAUCAAACUGGGAGAUAUCUCGUUCUCCUCGAAAUAGUUUUUGGGCUAGCCUCGAGUAACAGCAGACGGGGGUAGAGCUACUGACAGGAGCUGGGGGGCAUAUCGCCUACCCACUCCUCCCAAACUCCGAAUACCGUUUGCUUUUGUCUCGGGAGUCAGUCUGCGGGUGAUAAUAUCCGUGGACAAAAGGGAAACAACCCAGACCGCCAGCUAAGGUCCCUAAUUGUAUCUCAGUUCUUAAGGAAGUCAGGGUGCCGUGACAGCCAGGAUGUUGGCUUAGAAGCAGCUACCAUUUAAAGAGUGCGUAAUAGCUCACUGGUCGAGGACUCUGGCGCCGAUAAUGAUCGGGAAUAAGAUACAAACCGAAGCUGCGGGCUACUUUUGUAGCGGUAGAGGAGCGUUCCAGGUGCUUUGAAGCGAAACGGGCAACGUUUCGUGGAGCGCCCGGAAGUGAAUAUGUGGGCUUGAGUAACGAUAAUGCAGGUGAAAAUCCUGCACGCCGAAAGACUAAGGUUUCCUGGGGAAGGUAAAUCCGCCCAGGGUUAGUCGGCACCUAAGGCGAGGCCGAAAGGCGUAGUCGAUGGACAGCAGGUUAAUAUUCCUGCACCGCGUUGUAGGUUGAAGCACCGUGACGGAUCCGGAAGGUCAUGCGACUGACCAGUUGUCGUUGCCGCAAGGCUAAGGGCUAGAUCCCGAUGAUGGUUGGAUGGGUCCCAAGAAAAGCCGGUGUGGACGAAAACGUGGCCGUACUAAAACUGACACAGGUAGUCGUGGCGAAUAGCCUCAGGCGCUCGAGAGAACGGUUGUUAAGGAAUUAGGCAAAUUCACCCCGUAAGUUCGCGAUAAGGGGGCCCUCACCUUCGGGAAGGGCGCAGAGAAAAGGCUCUGGGAACUGUUUAUCAAAAACACAGGACUGUGCUAACUCGCAAGAGGAUGUAUACAGUCUGACGCCUGCUCGAUGCCGGAAUGUCACGGAAGUAGGUUAGCUUCGGCGAAGCUUACGACCCAAGCACCGGUCAAUGGCGGCCGUAACUAUGACGGUCCUAAGGUAGCGAAAUUCCUUGUCGGGUAAGUUCCGACGCGCAUGAAUGGCGUAAUCACUGGAGCACUGUCUCAACAACCGACUCGGUGAAAUAGAAGAAGCGGUGAAGAUACCGCGUACCCGCAGCAAGACGGAAAGACCCCGUGAACCUUUACUGUACGCUGAUAUUGGCCAAGAACUUGUUCUGCGUAGGAUAGGUGGGAGACUUUGAAACCUGGAUUCUGGUCCGGGUGGAGUCGUCCUUGAAAUACCACCCUGAUCACGUUUUUGACCUAACCCCGUCCCGUGAAUCCGGGCGAGGGACCCUGUCAGCCGGGCAGUUUGACUGGGGCGGUCUCCUCCUAAAAAGUAACGGAGGAGCGCAAAGGUCAGCUCAGCACGGUUGGAAACCGUGUGUCGAGUGUAAGAGCACAAGCUGGCUUUACUGCAAGACAUACUCGUCAAGCAGUCACGAAAGUGGGCUCUAGUGAUCCGGUAGUUCCGAGUGGAAGGGCUAUCGCUCAACGGAUAAAAGGUACUCCGGGGAUAACAGGCUGAUCGCUCCCGAGCGUCCAUAGCGGCGGAGCGGUUUGGCACCUCGAUGUCGGCUCGUCGCAUCCUGGGGCUGAAGGCGGUCCCAAGGGUUGGGCUGUUCGCCCAUUAAAGCGGCACGCGAGCUGGGUUCAGACCGGCGUGAGCCAGGUCGGUCCCUAUCUGCUGUGGGCGUAGCAAUCUUGAGAGGAUUCGACUUUAGUACGAGAGGAUUAGGUCGGACGCACCCCUGGUGCGCCGGUUGGCCCGCUAGGGCCAUAGCCGGGUAGCUAAGUGCGGCAGGGAUAACCGUUGAAGGCAUCUAAAUGGGAAGCCUCCCUCAAGAUCAGGAUUGCACUGAGACCCCCGGUAGACCACCGGGUUGAUAGGCCACAGCUGUAAGAGCCGAGAAGCUCUCAGGUGAGUGGUACUAACGGUCGACUGCUUAUU